This 2880-nucleotide ribosomal RNA is filed under the name Klebsiella pneumoniae subsp. pneumoniae. RNAcentral's name for it is "bacterial LSU rRNA". It matches the Rfam family "Bacterial large subunit ribosomal RNA". The record is from RNAcentral. Lineage: Bacteria; Pseudomonadati; Pseudomonadota; Gammaproteobacteria; Enterobacterales; Enterobacteriaceae.
ACUAAGCGUACACGGUGGAUGCCCUGGCAGUCAGAGGCGAUGAAGGACGUGCUAAUCUGCGAAAAGCGUCGGUAAGGUGAUAUGAACCGUUAUAACCGGCGAUGUCCGAAUGGGGAAACCCAGUGCAAUUCGUUGCACUAUCGUUAACUGAAUACAUAGGUUAACGAGGCGAACCGGGGGAACUGAAACAUCUAAGUACCCCGAGGAAAAGAAAUCAACCGAGAUUCCCCCAGUAGCGGCGAGCGAACGGGGAGCAGCCCAGAGUCUGAAUCAGCUUGUGUGUUAGUGGAACGGUCUGGAAAGUCCGACGGUACAGGGUGAUAGUCCCGUACACCAAAAUGCACAGGCUGUGAACUCGAAGAGUAGGGCGGGACACGUGGUAUCCUGUCUGAAUAUGGGGGGACCAUCCUCCAAGGCUAAAUACUCCUGACUGACCGAUAGUGAACCAGUACCGUGAGGGAAAGGCGAAAAGAACCCCGGCGAGGGGAGUGAAAAAGAACCUGAAACCGUGUACGUACAAGCAGUGGGAGCACCUUCGGGUGUGACUGCGUACCUUUUGUAUAAUGGGUCAGCGACUUAUAUUCUGUAGCAAGGUUAACCGUAUAGGGGAGCCGCAGGGAAACCGAGUCUUAACUGGGCGUUAAGUUGCAGGGUAUAGACCCGAAACCCGGUGAUCUAGCCAUGGGCAGGUUGAAGGUUGGGUAACACUAACUGGAGGACCGAACCGACUAAUGUUGAAAAAUUAGCGGAUGACUUGUGGCUGGGGGUGAAAGGCCAAUCAAACCGGGAGAUAGCUGGUUCUCCCCGAAAGCUAUUUAGGUAGCGCCUCGUGAACUCAUCUUCGGGGGUAGAGCACUGUUUCGGCUAGGGGGUCAUCCCGACUUACCAACCCGAUGCAAACUACGAAUACCGAAGAAUGUUAUCACGGGAGACACACGGCGGGUGCUAACGUCCGUCGUGAAGAGGGAAACAACCCAGACCGCCAGCUAAGGUCCCAAAGUCAUGGUUAAGUGGGAAACGAUGUGGGAAGGCACAGACAGCCAGGAUGUUGGCUUAGAAGCAGCCAUCAUUUAAAGAAAGCGUAAUAGCUCACUGGUCGAGUCGGCCUGCGCGGAAGAUGUAACGGGGCUAAACCAUGCACCGAAGCUGCGGCAGCGACACUAUGUGUUGUUGGGUAGGGGAGCGUUCUGUAAGCCUGCGAAGGUGNUGCUGGAGGUAUCAGAAGUGCGAAUGCUGACAUAAGUAACGAUAAAGCGGGUGAAAAGCCCGCUCGCCGGAAGACCAAGGGUUCCUGUCCAACGUUAAUCGGGGCAGGGUGAGUCGACCCCUAAGGCGAGGCCGAAAGGCGUAGUCGAUGGGAAACAGGUUAAUAUUCCUGUACUUGGUGUUACUGCGAAGGGGGGACGGAGAAGGCUAUGUUAGCCGGGCGACGGUUGUCCCGGUUUAAGCAUGUAGGCUGAUUGUCCAGGCAAAUCCGGAUAAUCAAGGCUGAGGUGUGAUGACGAGGCACUACGGUGCUGAAGUAACAAAUGCCCUGCUUCCAGGAAAAGCCUCUAAGCAUCAGGUAACAUCAAAUCGUACCCCAAACCGACACAGGUGGUCAGGUAGAGAAUACCAAGGCGCUUGAGAGAACUCGGGUGAAGGAACUAGGCAAAAUGGUGCCGUAACUUCGGGAGAAGGCACGCUGGUGUGUAGGUGAAGCCCCUGCGGGUGGAGCUGAGACCAGUCGAAGAUACCAGCUGGCUGCAACUGUUUAUUAAAAACACAGCACUGUGCAAACACGAAAGUGGACGUAUACGGUGUGACGCCUGCCCGGUGCCGGAAGGUUAAUUGAUGGGGUUAUCCGUAAGGAGAAGCUCUUGAUCGAAGCCCCGGUAAACGGCGGCCGUAACUAUAACGGUCCUAAGGUAGCGAAAUUCCUUGUCGGGUAAGUUCCGACCUGCACGAAUGGCGUAAUGAUGGCCAGGCUGUCUCCACCCGAGACUCAGUGAAAUUGAACUCGCUGUGAAGAUGCAGUGUACCCGCGGCAAGACGGAAAGACCCCGUGAACCUUUACUAUAGCUUGACACUGAACAUUGAGCCUUGAUGUGUAGGAUAGGUGGGAGGCUUUGAAGCGUGGACGCCAGUCUGCGUGGAGCCAACCUUGAAAUACCACCCUUUAAUGUUUGAUGUUCUAACGUUGGCCCCUUACCGGGGUUGCGGACAGUGUCUGGUGGGUAGUUUGACUGGGGCGGUCUCCUCCCAAAGCGUAACGGAGGAGCACGAAGGUUAGCUAAUCCUGGUCGGACAUCAGGAGGUUAGUGCAAUGGCAUAAGCUAGCUUGACUGCGAGCGUGACGGCGCGAGCAGGUGCGAAAGCAGGUCAUAGUGAUCCGGUGGUUCUGAAUGGAAGGGCCAUCGCUCAACGGAUAAAAGGUACUCCGGGGAUAACAGGCUGAUACCGCCCAAGAGUUCAUAUCGACGGCGGUGUUUGGCACCUCGAUGUCGGCUCAUCACAUCCUGGGGCUGAAGUAGGUCCCAAGGGUAUGGCUGUUCGCCAUUUAAAGUGGUACGCGAGCUGGGUUUAGAACGUCGUGAGACAGUUCGGUCCCUAUCUGCCGUGGGCGCUGGAGAAUUGAGGGGGGCUGCUCCUAGUACGAGAGGACCGGAGUGGACGCAUCACUGGUGUUCGGGUUGUCAUGCCAAUGGCACUGCCCGGUAGCUAAAUGCGGAAGAGAUAAGUGCUGAAAGCAUCUAAGCACGAAACUUGCCCCGAGAUGAGUUCUCCCUGAGACUUUAAGUCUCCUGAAGGAACGUUAAAGACGAUGACGUUGAUAGGCCGGGUGUGUAAGCGCAGCGAUGCGUUGAGCUAACCGGUACUAAUGAACCGUGAGGCUUAACC